This 208-nucleotide long non-coding RNA is filed under the name Manihot esculenta (cassava). Its description in RNAcentral is "long non-coding RNA (MESC_LNC007933)". Lineage: Eukaryota; Viridiplantae; Streptophyta; Magnoliopsida; Malpighiales; Euphorbiaceae. The record is from RNAcentral.
UCCCAUGUCAUGCCGUCUAGUCUCGGGUCCACAUAACACUUGAACCAUUCCUGUGCCUUUUUGCACUUUAAGGUGAACCCUGCCAUCUGAAUGGCCCUGCUGUCAUCUGCCCCUAGCUCAUCAGUUAUUGUCUUCACUACUCUCAGGUACUCAAAGGGAUCAUCCCCUGACUUGUAUUUGGGAGCAUCCAGCUUAAGGUAAUCUGUCA